GACGAACGCUGGCGGCGUGCUUAACACAUGCAAGUCGAACGAUGACGCCCGAGCUUGCUCGGUCUGAUUAGUGGCGAACGGGUGAGUAACACGUGAGCAACCUGCCCUUCACUCUGGGAUAACCUCGGGAAAUCGGGGCUAAUACCGGAUAUGAGCUCCUGUCGCAUGGCGGGUGUUGGAAAGUUUUUCGGUGAAGGAUGGGCUCGCGGCCUAUCAGUUUGUUGGUGAGGUAGUGGCUCACCAAGGCGAUGACGGGUAGCCGGCCUGAGAGGGCGACCGGCCACACUGGGACUGAGACACGGCCCAGACUCCUACGGGAGGUAGCAGUGGGGAAUAUUGCACAAUGGGCGAAAGCCUGAUGCAGCGACGCCGCGUGAGGGAUGACGGCCUUCGGGUUGUAAACCUCUUUCAGCAGGGAAGAAGCGAAAGUGACGGUACCUGCAGAAGAAGCGCCGGCUAACUACGUG
RNAcentral lists this ribosomal RNA (467 nucleotides) under uncultured bacterium. RNAcentral's name for it is "partial 16S ribosomal RNA". It matches the Rfam family "Bacterial small subunit ribosomal RNA", at positions 28 to 507 of the family's 1533-position model. The record is from RNAcentral.